CCCUAGCCCCGAUAAAAGUGGAAAUCCUUUUUAUUUUUUCUUUAAAAAUAAAAAGAUUGUAACGGAUAGCGGGAUUAGCU
RNAcentral lists this small RNA (80 nucleotides) under Flavobacterium sp. ov086. RNAcentral describes it as "Flavo-1 RNA". It matches the Rfam family "Flavo-1 RNA". Lineage: Bacteria; Pseudomonadati; Bacteroidota; Flavobacteriia; Flavobacteriales; Flavobacteriaceae. The record is from RNAcentral.